AGUGGCGGACGGGUGAGUAACACGUAGGUAACCUACCCUUAGGCGGGGGACAACUCAGGGAAACUUGAGCUAAUACCGCAUAAAUCCACGGGCUGGGAUGCUUGUGGGGAAAGUGGCAACACACCUAAGGAUGGGCCUGCGGCCUAUCAGGUAGUUGGUGGGGUAAGAGCCCACCAAGCCGAAGACGGGUAGCCGGGCUGAGAGGUUGAACGGCCACACUGGAACUGAGACACGGUCCAGACUCCUACGGGAGGCAGCAGUGGGGAAUCUUGCGCAAUGGGGGAAACCCUGACGCAGCGACGCCGCGUGGAGGAUGAAGGUCUUCGGGUUGUAAACUCCUUUUCUUGGGGAAAAUGAUGAUGGUACUCAAGGAAUAAGCCACGGCUAACUCUGUGCCAGCAGCCGCGGUAAGACAGAGGUGGCGAGCGUUGUUCGGAAUUACUGGGCUUAAAGGGCGAGUAGGCGGUAGAGCAAGUCUGAGGUGGAAUCCUAUGGCUUAACCAUAGAACUGCCUUAGAAACUGCUUUACUUGAGUCAGUGAGGGGAGGGCGGAAUUCCUGGUGUAGCGGUGAAAUGCGUAGAUAUCAGGAGGAAGGCCUGUGGCGAAAGCGGCCCUCUGGCACUGUACUGACGCUGAGGCGCGAAAGCGUGGGGAGCAAACAGGAUUAGAUACCCUGGUAGUCCACGCCCUAAACGGUGGGCAUUAGG
This 708-nucleotide ribosomal RNA is filed under the name uncultured bacterium. RNAcentral describes it as "bacterial SSU rRNA". It matches the Rfam family "Bacterial small subunit ribosomal RNA", at positions 94 to 820 of the family's 1533-position model. The record is from RNAcentral.